CCUACGGGUGGCAGCAGUGAGGAAUAUUGGUCAAUGGGAGAGAUCCUGAACCAGCCAAGCCGCGUGAGGGAAGACAGCCCUAUGGGUUGUAAACCUCUUUUGUCGGAGAACAAAACCCAGGAUGUGUCCCGGACUGCGUGUGUCCGAAUAAAAAGCAUCGGCUAACUCCGUGCCAGCAGCCGCGGUAAUACGUAGGGGGCAAGCGUUAUCCGGAUUUACUGGGGGUAAAGGGAGCGUAGACGGGUGUGCAAGUCUGAAGUGAAAGCCCGUGGCUCAACCGCGGAACUGCUUUGGAAACUGUAUAGCUUGAGUACUGGAGAGGCAGGCGGAAUUCCUAGUGUAGCGGUGAAAUGCGUAGAUAUUAGGAGGAACACCAGUGGCGAAGGCGGACUGCUGGACAGAAACUGACGCUCAUGCACGAAAGCGUGGGUAUCGAACAGGAUUAGAUACCCGAGUAGUC
Molecule: ribosomal RNA, 460 nt
Filed under: uncultured bacterium
Lineage: Bacteria
Description: partial 16S ribosomal RNA
Rfam family: Bacterial small subunit ribosomal RNA
Source: RNAcentral